Molecule: long non-coding RNA, 277 nt
Filed under: Helianthus annuus (common sunflower)
Lineage: Eukaryota; Viridiplantae; Streptophyta; Magnoliopsida; Asterales; Asteraceae
Description: sRNA HanXRQr2_Chr01g0026261
Source: RNAcentral
CCUUUGGCUGCUCACCCCGAUUAUGUGCUUAAGUUCUUUGUUCGCAUAAGAGCAUAAUAAUGUCAAAAGAGUAUGUGGAGAUCUCUAGAAAGAAGACUAAGAAGGACCUAAGCUCCAGCAUUUCAAUUCAGGAAGGUGGUGAAUAUGAAGAAUAACAAGGAGUGGAUGCCUACACAUGAAGAGAUGGGAUACCUUGAAUUGAGGCAAAGAUUGAAGGCAUCGGCUAGAAAGAAGACUAAGAAGGACCUAAGCUCCAGCAUCUGAAAUUCAUGGGAGA